AUGCUUCUCUACUUGUAUGUCUUGUCAACAACUUGUGUAGAUUCGGGUGGCUGCUAUAACAUAAAUCUUGGUGUUAUUAUUUUGCUUCAAAUUCUCGUGGCUUUUGGCGGCAGCCAACUCAUUAGUAUUAAUUUUUCUCUUUCAAAUUCCAUUUUUGUUUGUAUUCUUUCCUUGGAUGUUACUGAACAAAAAUCCUUACUGCCUAUAUUUUAUUUUUCUACACAUUGGAUUGGACACCGUAGAUUGAUAUCAUAA
Molecule: non-coding RNA, 255 nt
Organism: Vicia faba (fava bean)
Lineage: Eukaryota; Viridiplantae; Streptophyta; Magnoliopsida; Fabales; Fabaceae
Source: the annotation of a GenBank genome assembly